RNAcentral lists this long non-coding RNA (1069 nucleotides) under Macaca fascicularis (crab-eating macaque). Its description in RNAcentral is "lncRNA (ENSMFAG00000057874.1)". Lineage: Eukaryota; Metazoa; Chordata; Mammalia; Primates; Cercopithecidae. The record is from RNAcentral.
UUGUUGCUUCACGAGGUUCUGAGAGUGUCCUAGAAUGCCAAAGCCUGUGAUAUCUGUGGCCACAUGGGCAUUAAAUUUGUGCAUUAAUCCAGCAGCAGUUCAGUUAAUGGUAGCCAUACUGACCGUGGCUUCCUGAUAGGCCAGCUCUACUACUUCUCUGAGGAUCACACCUGAUUCCAUCUUUCAGUAUCAUCCAGCUAUUGGUGGGCAUUGACAGCAACUUGGGUUCCUAAGGGUUUGGUUAACACCAGCACAUCCCCAACAGCAGCAUUAUUAGGCAUUAUGAAUGCACUUGGCCUAUAUACCACAGUGGCAACUCCACCGAUGAUAAGCCAAGAGCUGAACACCAUUUGUCCACCUGUCACUGCAGUUCCUCCCUCCUCGGUAGCGUCCCGAAAGCCUUUGAUCAUGAGUGGCAUUAUCUUUUCGUGUUCCUCCUCACUCAUACUCUGGCUAAGGCUGAGUAACGUCAACAUGUUAUCACACUUAGUAAUGCCCAUGGCCUAGAGGUCACUCAGCACGCUGGCACAAGCUAUGCACCCCAUCAUGUAGGGAUCCUCCAACAAGGGGUAAAAGAAGUCCAUGGUCUGCACCAGUGACAGGCCCCCAUGCCUCAGCAAGAUGACGCAAGGGUCUAUCCCAAUGCCCAGGACUGGAAGGGCUGGGCCAGGGUCCGCCCCCUCUGGCAGGGGUGCUUCCUGGGCAGCCUCGGCCCGGCUGGGUGUGGGCCGUGUCAGUCUGGCCAGGAGUUUGGGCAGUGCCUCCUGCGAGACCUUGCAGCCUCAGCCUUUCCUGCCGGAGAAGCCCGUCAGUCGCCAGCCCAGGCUGAGACCCCACAACUGGGGCUGAAAGGGCCAGUAACUCGAGAAGGCCCAGCCCAGAGACAAAGCCGCCGGACCCGAGGAGACUUCCGCCGCCGCCAUGGCCACCGUCACGGGGCUUCCGCCAUCGCGCCUGCUGGAAAGGCCUGAGGAAAGGGGAGAAGAGGAGAGGGCCCUUUUGGUUUCCACUCAAGUUAAUAAGAAGUAACAGUCAAAUAUCUCCCACAGAGAUUCUCCCGGGCACCAUU